UGUGUUAUAAGUAUUAGGCUAUCAUGAUUAUACAGUGAGCAAGCUAUAUAAAUAAGUAUUUAAUAUAAUAAAAGUGUAGAGCAACAACCGAGGGUGUAAGGUAAAGGCUGAAUAUUGUAGAUUUAUUACAAUAUGUUGCAUGUUUGAAUUAAAAUACCUGUGGAUAUGCAGGAGCACACACUCUACAAAGGCCUGACUGGAGAUUUGCCUGAUCUAUCCGUCCUUCAGAUGACAGCGGCUCGCUUCAAGAGCAGGUGAAGCAAGUUGGGACAAUGUUGAAGACAUUUGCUCGCACUGGGCAAUCGGGUGCAGAUCAAACCCUAAUGCUGCGACGUCUUGGAGUUUGGCGAUGUUGUGCGUAGCAUGGACAACAAAAUGCUAUGCUGCAACGUUUCAGUGCCAAUGUGUCUGUUGGAGAGUUAUCCCUGCCAGGGGAUCUGUUACU
Xyrauchen texanus (razorback sucker) is the source of this 445-nucleotide long non-coding RNA. RefSeq lists it as uncharacterized. NCBI's taxonomy places the organism in Eukaryota, Metazoa, Chordata, Actinopteri, Cypriniformes, Catostomidae. The transcript has 3 exons. The record is from RefSeq and is a predicted model, not a curated record.